CAGCAGCCACGGUAAUACGUAAGGUGCGAGCGUUAAUCGGAAUUAUUGGGCGUAAAGGGCUCGCAGGCGGUUUCUUAAGUCUGAUGUGAAAGCCCCCGGCUCAACCGGGGAGGGUCAUUGGAAACUGGGAAACUUGAGUGCAGAAGAGGAGAGUGGAAUUCCACGUGUAGCGGUGAAAUGCGUAGAGAUGUGGAGGAACACCAGUGGCGAAGGCGACUCUCUGGUCUGUAACUGACGCUGAGGAGCGAAAGCGUGGGGAGCGAACAGGAUUAGAUACCCCCGUAGUCCCUGUCUCUUAUAU
Molecule: ribosomal RNA, 301 nt
Filed under: uncultured bacterium
Lineage: Bacteria
Description: partial 16S ribosomal RNA
Rfam family: Bacterial small subunit ribosomal RNA
Source: RNAcentral